AUGAGGACCAGCAUCACCCUCGUCAUCGGUGUGGCCGCCAUCAUCUACGCCGUCGCCAUGCCCGCCACGGCGAUGCCCGGCGGGUGGGAACACAUCCGUAACAUCAACGACCCGAAGAUCCAGGGGCUCGGCAAUUGGGCGGUGGCGGAGCACAUGAAGCAGGCGGGCGGCCGGUUCAGGUUCAGCAAGGUGGUGCUGGGCACGGUGCAGGUGGUGUCGGGCUUCAACUAUCGGCUCCUCGUCGAGGCGCUGAACGGCGCCGGCAAGAAGGACGCGUACAAGGUGGAGGUGUACGAGGAGGCGGCCGACAAAGGGCGCAAGCUCGUCUCCUUCACCCCGGUCGCCCAAGAGGCGUAG
Molecule: ribosomal RNA, 357 nt
Filed under: Triticum aestivum (bread wheat)
Lineage: Eukaryota; Viridiplantae; Streptophyta; Magnoliopsida; Poales; Poaceae
Description: partial small subunit ribosomal RNA
Source: RNAcentral